UAGGGAAUCUUCGGCAAUGGACGGAAGUCUGACCGAGCAACGCCGCGUGAGUGAAGAAGGUUUUCGGAUCGUAAAGCUCUGUUGUUAGAGAAGAACGUUGGUAGGAGUGGAAAAUCUACCAAGUGACGGUAACUAACCAGAAAGGGACGGCUAACUACGUGCCAGCAGCCGCGGUAAUACGUAGGUCCCGAGCGUUGUCCGGAUUUAUUGGGCGUAAAGCGAGCGCAGGCGGUUCUUUAAGUCUGAAGUUAAAGGCAGUGGCUUAACCAUUGUACGCUUUGGAAACUGGAGGACUUGCGUGCAGAAGGGGAGAGUGGAAUUCCAUGUGUAGCGGUGAAUUGCGUAGAUAUAUGGAGGAACACCGGUGGCGAAAGCGGCUCUCUGGUCUGUAACUGACGCUGAGGCUCGAAAGCGUGGGGAGCAAACAGG
Molecule: ribosomal RNA, 429 nt
Filed under: Bacillota bacterium
Lineage: Bacteria; Bacillati; Bacillota
Description: Firmicutes bacterium partial 16S ribosomal RNA
Rfam family: Bacterial small subunit ribosomal RNA
Source: RNAcentral